RNAcentral lists this ribosomal RNA (1369 nucleotides) under uncultured bacterium. RNAcentral's name for it is "bacterial SSU rRNA". It matches the Rfam family "Bacterial small subunit ribosomal RNA", at positions 28 to 1381 of the family's 1533-position model. The record is from RNAcentral.
GACGAACGCUGGCGGCGUGCCUAAUACAUGCAAGUAGAACGCUGAAGAGAGGAGCUUGCUCUUCUUGGAUGAGUUGCGAACGGGUGAGUAACGCGUAGGUAACCUGCCUUGUAGCGGGGGAUAACUAUUGGAAACGAUAGCUAAUACCGCAUAACAAUGGAUGACACAUGUCAUUUAUUUGAAAGGGGCAAUUGCUCCACUACAAGAUGGACCUGCGUUGUAUUAGCUAGUAGGUGAGGUAACGGCUCACCUAGGCGACGAUACAUAGCCGACCUGAGAGGGUGAUCGGCCACACUGGGACUGAGACACGGCCCAGACUCCUACGGGAGGCAGCAGUAGGGAAUCUUCGGCAAUGGGGGCAACCCUGACCGAGCAACGCCGCGUGAGUGAAGAAGGUUUUCGGAUCGUAAAGCUCUGUUGUAAGUCAAGAACGAGUGUGAGAGUGGAAAGUUCACACUGUGACGGUAGCUUACCAGAAAGGGACGGCUAACUACGUGCCAGCAGCCGCGGUAAUACGUAGGUCCCGAGCGUUGUCCGGAUUUAUUGGGCGUAAAGCGAGCGCAGGCGGUUUGAUAAGUCUGAAGUUAAAGGCUGUGGCUCAACCAUAGUUCGCUUUGGAAACUGUCAAACUUGAGUGCAGAAGGGGAGAGUGGAAUUCCAUGUGUAGCGGUGAAAUGCGUAGAUAUAUGGAGGAACACCGGUGGCGAAAGCGGCUCUCUGGUCUGUAACUGACGCUGAGGCUCGAAAGCGUGGGGAGCGAACAGGAUUAGAUACCCUGGUAGUCCACGCCGUAAACGAUGAGUGCUAGGUGUUGGAUCCUUUCCGGGAUUCAGUGCCGCAGCUAACGCAUUAAGCACUCCGCCUGGGGAGUACGACCGCAAGGUUGAAACUCAAAGGAAUUGACGGGGGCCCGCACAAGCGGUGGAGCAUGUGGUUUAAUUCGAAGCAACGCGAAGAACCUUACCAGGUCUUGACAUCCCGAUGCUAUUUCUAGAGAUAGAAAGUUACUUCGGUACAUCGGUGACAGGUGGUGCAUGGUUGUCGUCAGCUCGUGUCGUGAGAUGUUGGGUUAAGUCCCGCAACGAGCGCAACCCCUAUUGUUAGUUGCCAUCAUUCAGUUGGGCACUCUAGCGAGACUGCCGGUAAUAAACCGGAGGAAGGUGGGGAUGACGUCAAAUCAUCAGGCCCCUUAUGACCUGGGCUACACACGUGCUACAAUGGUUGGUACAACGAGUUGCGAGUCGGUGACGGCAAGCUAAUCUCUUAAAGCCAAUCUCAGUUCGGAUUGUAGGCUGCAACUCGCCUACAUGAAGUCGGAAUCGCUAGUAAUCGCGGAUCAGCACGCCGCGGUGAAUACGUUCCCGGGCCU